This 92-nucleotide microRNA precursor is filed under the name Pan troglodytes (chimpanzee). Its description in RNAcentral is "mir-544 microRNA precursor family". It matches the Rfam family "mir-544 microRNA precursor family". The record is from Rfam by way of RNAcentral. Lineage: Eukaryota; Metazoa; Chordata; Mammalia; Primates; Hominidae.
AUUACCUUGGGAUCUUGUUUAAGUGCAGAUUCUGAUUCAAGAGGGACGUCAGUGAGAGUCUGCAUUUCUAACAAGUUCCCAGGUGAUGCUGA